AUUGAACGCUGGCGGCAUGCUUUACACAUGCAAGUCGAACGGUAACAGGCCGCAAGGUGCUGACGAGUGGCGAACGGGUGAGUAAUGCAUCGGAACGUGCCCAGUCGUGGGGGAUAACUACUCGAAAGAGUAGCUAAUACCGCAUACGAUCUAUGGAUGAAAGCGGGGGACCGUAAGGCCUCGCGCGAUUGGAGCGGCCGAUGUCAGAUUAGGUAGUUGGUGGGGUAAAGGUUCACCAAGCCAACGAUCUGUAGCUGGUCUGAGAGGACGACCAGCCACACUGGGACUGAGACACGGCCCAGACUCCUACGGGAGGCAGCAGUGGGGAAUUUUGGACAAUGGGCGCAAGCCUGAUCCAGCAAUGCCGCGUGCAGGAAGAAGGCCUUCGGGUUGUAAACUGCUUUUGUACGGAACGAAACGGCUCUGGUUAAUACCCGGGGCUAAUGACGGUACCGUAAGAAUAAGCACCGGCUAACUACGUG
Molecule: ribosomal RNA, 482 nt
Filed under: uncultured bacterium
Lineage: Bacteria
Description: partial 16S ribosomal RNA
Rfam family: Bacterial small subunit ribosomal RNA
Source: RNAcentral